Molecule: ribosomal RNA, 330 nt
Filed under: uncultured eukaryote
Lineage: Eukaryota
Description: partial 18S ribosomal RNA
Rfam family: Eukaryotic small subunit ribosomal RNA
Source: RNAcentral
CCCUUAGAUGUUCUGGGCCGCACGCGCGCUACACUGAUGCAUUCAACGAGUCUAAAACCUGGUCUGAUAGGGCUGGGUAAUCUUUUGAGUGUGCAUCGUGAUUGGGAUAGAUGAUUGCAAUUCUUCAUCUUCAACGAGGAAUGCCUAGUAAACGCAAGUCAUCAGCUUGCAUUGAUUACGUCCCUGCCCUUUGUACACACCGCCCGUCGCUCCUACCGAUUGAAUGUUCCGAUGAAUACCAUGGACUGAGAGUAUGAAUGGGUUCGCCUAUUUCUGCUUCUCGGGAAGUGGAGUAAAUCUUAACAUUUAGAGGAAGGAGAAGUCGUAACA